GAAAAGAAUUUAUUUAUUAAUAUUUAUUAUUUUAUUUUUUUUUAAUAAAAAUAAUUUUAAAGUUAAUGGUUUUGUAAAUUAUAUUGAAAAAAUAAUUUUAAUUAUAGUUUAUUUGUAUUGUAAAAGAAUAUUGAAAAAAUUUGAAAAAUUUUUAUAUUAAAAGAAUAUUUAAUUUGUAGUACCUUGUGUAUCAGGGUUUAUCAAAAAAAAAUUUAUUAAAAAAAUUUUCUCGAUUUUAAGAGAUUUAAUUAAUUAUUUUAGUUACUGUGGCAUAAGUAUUAAAAAUAAUUAAUUAGAAAUGAAACGUUAUUCGUUCUUAAAUAUAUCUAGUUUUUUAAGAAAUAAAUUUAAUUUAUAUAUUUUUUAGUAAUAAUUUAUUUAUUUAAAUUAUUAUUUAAUUAAUAUAAAUAUUUUAAGGGAUAAGCUUUAAAAUAAAUUUUUAUAUAAUAUAAAUUUUUGUAUAAAUUGUAAGCUUAAAAAUAGUUAUCAAUUAAAAUUAUGUUAUAAUUUAUUUAUACUUUAAAAAAUUUAUUAAAUUAUUAACUGUUUAUUAAAAUUUUUAUUUUAAUUAUAUUUAUAAAGUAAUAAUGAUAAAAUUAGUAUAUUUAUUUAUAUUUAUAAAAAUAAAUAUGAAAGAAAGGUUUAUUUAAGGAAUUCGGCAAAUUUUUAUACUCGCCUGUUUAGCAAAAACAUGUCUUUUUGAAUUUAAUAAAAAGUCUGGCCUGCCCGCUGAAAAAUUUUGAAGGGCCGCGGUAUUUUGACCGUGCAAAGGUAGCAUAAUCAUUAGUCUUUUAAUUGAAGGCUUGUAUGAAUGGUUGGACGAAGUAUAAGCUGUCUUAAUUAAAUUUUUUAUAGAAUUUUACUUUUUAGUUAAAAGGCUAAAAUAUAAUUGAAGGACGAGAAGACCCUAUAAAGCUUUAUAAUAUUUUAUAUAUAAUUUAUUAAGAAAAUUUUAAAUUUUAUAAUUUAAUAUUAUUUUAUUGGGGUGAUAAUAAGAUUUAACAAACUCUUAUUAAUAUUUUACAUUAAUAUAUGAAUAAUUGAUCCAAUAUUAUUGAUUAAAAAUUUAAGUUACUUUAGGGAUAACAGCGUAAUUUUCUUUGAGAGUUCUUAUCGACAAGAAAGAUUGCGACCUCGAUGUUGGAUUAAGAAUUAUUUUUAGGUGUAGAAGCUUAAAUGUUAGGUCUGUUCGACCUUUAAAUUCUUACAUGAUCUGAGUUCAGACCGGCGUGAGCCAGGUUGGUUUCUAUCUUCAAUAAAUUAAAAUAUUUUAGUACGAAAGGACCAAAUAUUUGAAAUAUUAAUUUUUUAAAAUUAAUGAAUAUAAUUAAUUAAAUUAAG
Molecule: ribosomal RNA, 1341 nt
Filed under: Ptychoptera scutellaris
Lineage: Eukaryota; Metazoa; Arthropoda; Insecta; Diptera; Ptychopteridae
Description: 16S ribosomal RNA
Rfam family: Archaeal large subunit ribosomal RNA (bases 629-1341)
Source: RNAcentral